CCUACGGGUGGCAGCAGUCGAGAAUCAUUCACAAUGGGGGAAACCCUGAUGGUGCGACGCCGCGUGGGGGAAUGAAGGUCUUCGGAUUGUAAACCCCUGUCAUGUGGGAGCAAAUUAAAAAGAUAGUACCACAAGAGGAAGAGACGGCUAACUCUGUGCCAGCAGCCGCGGUAAUACAGAGGUCUCAAGCGUUGUUCGGAAUCACUGGGCGUAAAGCGUGCGUAGGCUGUUUCGUAAGGCGUGUGUGAACGGCGCGGGCGCAACCCGCGGACGGCACAUGAUACUGCGAGACUAGAGUAAUGGAGGGGGAACCGGAAUUCUCGGUGUAGCAGUGAAAUGCGUAGAUAUCGAGAGGAACACUCGUGGCGAAGGCGGGUUCCUGGACAUUAACUGACGCUGAGGCACGAAGGCCAGGGGAGCGAAAGGGAUUAGAUACCCGGGUAGUC
This 446-nucleotide ribosomal RNA is filed under the name uncultured bacterium. Its description in RNAcentral is "partial 16S ribosomal RNA". It matches the Rfam family "Bacterial small subunit ribosomal RNA", at positions 338 to 795 of the family's 1533-position model. The record is from RNAcentral.